This 497-nucleotide ribosomal RNA is filed under the name uncultured bacterium. Its description in RNAcentral is "partial 16S ribosomal RNA". It matches the Rfam family "Bacterial small subunit ribosomal RNA", at positions 28 to 507 of the family's 1533-position model. The record is from RNAcentral.
GAUGAACGCUGGCGGCGUGCCUAAUACAUGCAAGUCGAGCGAACAGACGAGGAGCUUGCUCCUCUGACGUUAGCGGCGGACGGGUGAGUAACACGUGGAUAACCUACCUAUAAGACUGGGAUAACUUCGGGAAACCGGAGCUAAUACCGGAUAAUAUAUUGAACCGCAUGGUUCAAUAGUGAAAGACGGUUUUGCUGUCUCUUAUAGAUGGAUCCGCGCCGCAUUAGCUAGUUGGUAAGGUAACGGCUUACCAAGGCAACGAUGCGUAGCCGACCUGAGAGGGUGAUCGGCCACACUGGAACUGAGACACGGUCAAGACUCCUACGGGAGGCAGCAGUAGGGAAUCUUCCGCAAUGGGCGAAAGCCUGACGGAGCAACGCCGCGUGAGUGAUGAAGGUCUUCGGAUCGUAAAACUCUGUUAUUAGGGAAGAACAAAUGUGUAAGUAACUAUGCACGUCUUGACGGUACCUAAUCAGAAAGCCACGGCUAACUACGUG